CCCGCGUCUGAUUAGCUAGUUGGUAAGGUAACGGCUUACCAAGGCGACGAUCAGUAGCCGACCUGAGAGGGUGAUCGGCCACAUUGGAACUGAGACACGGUCCAAACUCCUACGGGAGGCAGCAGUGGGGAAUAUUGCACAAUGGGCGAAAGCCUGAUGCAGCAACGCCGCGUGAGUGAUGAAGGCCUUCGGGUCGUAAAACUCUGUCCUCAAGGGAGAUAAUGACGGUACUUGAGGAGGAAGCCCCGGCUAACUACGUGCCAGCAGCCGCGGUAAUACGUAGGGGGCUAGCGUUAUCCGGAUUUACUGGGCGUAAAGGGUGCGUAGGCGGUCUUUCAAGUCAGGAGUGAAAGGCUACGGCUCAACCGUAGUAAGCUCUUGAAACUGGGAGACUUGAGUGCAGGAGAGGAGAGUGGAAUUCCUAGUGUAGCGGUGAAAUGCGUAGAUAUUAGGAGGAACACCAGUUGCGAAGGCGGCUCUCUGGACUGUAACUGACGCUGAGGCACGAAAGCGUGGGGAGCAAACAGGAUUAGAUACCCUGGUAGUCCACGCUGUAAACGAUGAGUACUAGGUGUCGGGGGUUACCCCCUUCG
Molecule: ribosomal RNA, 593 nt
Filed under: uncultured bacterium
Lineage: Bacteria
Description: bacterial SSU rRNA
Rfam family: Bacterial small subunit ribosomal RNA
Source: RNAcentral